RNAcentral lists this ribosomal RNA (582 nucleotides) under Escherichia coli. RNAcentral's name for it is "bacterial LSU rRNA". It matches the Rfam family "Bacterial large subunit ribosomal RNA", at positions 690 to 1268 of the family's 2925-position model. The record is from RNAcentral. Lineage: Bacteria; Pseudomonadati; Pseudomonadota; Gammaproteobacteria; Enterobacterales; Enterobacteriaceae.
GGGCGUUAAGUUGCAGGGUAUAGACCCGAAACCCGGUGAUCUAGCCAUGGGCAGGUUGAAGGUUGGGUAACACUAACUGGAGGACCGAACCGACUAAUGUUGAAAAAUUAGCGGAUGACUUGUGGCUGGGGGUGAAAGGCCAAUCAAACCGGGAGAUAGCUGGUUCUCCCCGAAAGCUAUUUAGGUAGCGCCUCGUGAAUUCAUCUCCGGGGGUAGAGCACUGUUUCGGCAAGGGGGUCAUCCCGACUUACCAACCCGAUGCAAACUGCGAAUACCGGAGAAUGUUAUCACGGGAGACACACGGCGGGUGCUAACGUCCGUCGUGAAGAGGGAAACAACCCAGACCGCCAGCUAAGGUCCCAAAGUCAUGGUUAAGUGGGAAACGAUGUGGGAAGGCCCAGACAGCCAGGAUGUUGGCUUAGAAGCAGCCAUCAUUUAAAGAAAGCGUAAUAGCUCACUGGUCGAGUCGGCCUGCGCGGAAGAUGUAACGGGGCUAAACCAUGCACCGAAGCUGCGGCAGCGACGCUUAUGCGUUGUUGGGUAGGGGAGCGUUCUGUAAGCCUGUGAAGGUGUACUGUGAGG